RNAcentral lists this ribosomal RNA (253 nucleotides) under uncultured bacterium. Its description in RNAcentral is "partial 16S ribosomal RNA". It matches the Rfam family "Bacterial small subunit ribosomal RNA", at positions 524 to 776 of the family's 1533-position model. The record is from RNAcentral.
UACGUAGGUGGCGAGCGUUGUCCGGAUUUACUGGGCGUAAAGGGCGUGCAGGCGGUUUGCUAAGUCUAGGGUGAAAGCUCCCGGCUCAACUGGGAGAGGUCCUUGGAUACUGACAGACUUGAGGGAGGCAGAGGAGAAUGGAAUUCCCGGUGUAGUGGUGAUAUGCGUAGAUAUCGGGAGGAACACCAAUGGCGAAGGCAGCUCGCUGGGACGGUACUGACGCUGAGACGCGAAAGCGUGGGGAGCGAACAGG